CCUUUGGAGUGUUACACCAAACGAGAGUAGCUUCUUAAGCAAAAUCGGACACAAUGAAAAAGGAA
RNAcentral lists this small RNA (65 nucleotides) under pig gut metagenome. Its description in RNAcentral is "RAGATH-18 RNA". It matches the Rfam family "RAGATH-18 RNA". Rfam says of the family: Actinobacteria, Firmicutes, Fusobacteria, Thermotogae (1 example). The record is from RNAcentral.